Molecule: ribosomal RNA, 531 nt
Filed under: Triticum aestivum (bread wheat)
Lineage: Eukaryota; Viridiplantae; Streptophyta; Magnoliopsida; Poales; Poaceae
Description: partial small subunit ribosomal RNA
Source: RNAcentral
AUGGAGUUUCGUCGGCGUUCCACCCGGCUGCGACGACCGGACCGCAUCAGGGCCCUCCUCGAUGACCUGAUCCUCCUUGUCCUCGCCCGCCUCCGCUGCGCCCAGGCCGGCGCGCGCACUGGCCUCAUCUCGCGCCAGUGGCGCGGCCUCGCAGCCCGCCUCCGCGAUAUCGUCUUCCGCGGCGUCGCCCUCCACAGGCUCGAAGCCGCGCUCAGCCGCCUAUCUCCCGCGGUUUCCCUCCUCGAGAUCCGCAUCCCCAAGGAGCGUCGCGCCGGCGCCGCCCGCGGCAACUCACUUCUCCGCGUCGGCACCGCCCGCGUCAACUCGCAGCUCCGCGCUGCCGCGCGGCUCGAGCCGGAGGAGCUCGUCUUCGACCUCCCCUUCGAUCUGGUCGACGGCUCCCUCGUCGUCGACCUGCCCUGCCUGUGCCACGCCACCUCCUCCUCAUCCUCCGCGUGCCCGACGACGUCGAAUUCCCGGUGCUGGAGGCGCUGUCCCUUUCGUGUGGCGCUGGAGACGCCUCUCCUGUGA